Molecule: long non-coding RNA, 381 nt
Organism: Aotus nancymaae (Ma's night monkey)
Lineage: Eukaryota; Metazoa; Chordata; Mammalia; Primates; Aotidae
Source: Ensembl
AUGUAGUGCUUCAUUCUGCAGAGGAACAAGUAACCUGCUAAAACAUUCCUGUUUAAUAUUUGACAAGCAAAUUAUUCCCUUACUGAAGGAAACUAGUGCUAACCUUUCCUCCACCACACUGAGCAUUUAAGCCCUCAAGAGACACUCCUGGGACAGAUGGGUGAUGGGCAAGCUGGAAUACUGUAAUGUGCUCAGAAUGAAAAGCCCCUGCACUUAGAAAUUAAAAUAAGAUCAGGAGCCAAGUGGAGAGAAAGGUUAUUAGAACAUGGUCUAGAGAAAAAGCUGGAGGAUGAUCCACAAUUCCAUCCUGAGGGAAGAGGAAACACUGCCUUUAGGGUGAUUCUUCAUAGCAGGGAAGCUGAUGGAAAACUGACAGACCCU